GGAAUAUUGGACAAUGGGGGGAACCCUGAUCCAGCAACGCCGCGUGAGCGAAGAAGGCCUUCGGGUCGUAAAGCUCUUUUCUGAGGGAAGAGGCAGGACGGUACCUCAGGAAUAAGUCUCGGCUAACUACGUGCCAGCAGCCGCGGUAAAACGUAGGAGGCGAGCGUUAUCCGGAUUUACUGGGCGUAAAGGGCAAGUAGGCGGUGGCAUAAGUUGGGCGUGACAUCUCCCGGCUCAACUGGGAGGGGUCGCUCAAAACUGGGUCACUUGAGGGCAGGAGAGGGAAGCGGAAUUCCUAGUGUAGCGGUGGAAUGCUCAGAUAUUAGGAAGAACACCAGUGGCGAAGGCGGCUUCCUGGCCUGCACCUGACGCUGAGAGGCGAAAGCUAGGGGAGCGAA
This 398-nucleotide ribosomal RNA is filed under the name uncultured bacterium. RNAcentral's name for it is "bacterial SSU rRNA". It matches the Rfam family "Bacterial small subunit ribosomal RNA", at positions 358 to 772 of the family's 1533-position model. The record is from RNAcentral.